RNAcentral lists this long non-coding RNA (1369 nucleotides) under Daucus carota (carrot). Its description in RNAcentral is "long non-coding RNA (DCAR_LNC004263)". The record is from RNAcentral. Lineage: Eukaryota; Viridiplantae; Streptophyta; Magnoliopsida; Apiales; Apiaceae.
UAUAGUGGCGCACUAUGUAACUCCACAUAAGGAGUCCCUCUCUAGAAUGUUGGCCUACUUAUAAUAAUGUAACACUAGUAUACAUUUUUAUUGUAAAUAAUAUAUUUAAAUAAAAUAAAAUUAUGAUGUGAAUUUAAUUUUAGCCAAACUCAAACUCAAGUUGGCUUUGAUCCUCGACAGCUCGACUCCUCAGCCUCACCCCUCACAAAGUCACACUCCAAUCGUCGUCUUCAUACUCCAAUCUUCAUCUCUUAUUGACUCUCUCAAUCGCUCAUCAGUCAUCUCUCAAUCUCUACGACCGAAAUGCAAAAAAGAUUGGAUAACUUUGUAAUUAAAACACCUAAACCUCGUUUCUCCCUCGUCUCUCCUGAUCUCUCCCUAUCUCUCUCUGCAAACUCAAGUCAGUAGUAUUUUUAAGGUACGUGGUUGUGUAGUUUUUGGACAAAGGCAGGUAUUUUGUGUGUGUUUUUUGGGAAUGCUGUGUGUUUUUGAGAUGGGGUUUCUUGAUUUCUUGUGGGAUAUUUGUCAUUAGAUUCCGUUUAAGAACAUGUUUUUUGUUUUAAAUUUUGGAUUUCAAAUAUCAUGAUUUCAUGUGUCAUUUCAAAUUCUAAAUUUUACAUUAGUGUUUGAAUGUUGUGGAUUUUAAAUGAAAUUUAAAUCUAACUUUUUGUGUAUCUUACUCAUGGAUAUAUUUUGGGUGGUCAUCGUCCGCUUCGCGGUUGUGUGCGGGAGAGAUAGCAUAGCGGUGGUGGCUGAAAUGGUUGAGGGUUGUGGCGACGGCAGUUCAACGAUCAGUAUGAGAUCCGGUUUCAGAAAGGAAUGCGUUAAUUGUGCCUUAAUUGAGAGCGUUUAUUGUGCCUCUUAAUUGAAGGCGUUUAUUGUGCCUCCUAAUUGAAGACGUUAACUGUGCCUUAUUUGGGGGCGUUAAUUGUGUCUUAAUUGAGGGCGUUAAUAUCUUAUUAAAUGUGAUUUAAUUAAGAGUUUAAUUGUCUCAAUUAUGAGUUAUCAUAAUUGUGUGAAUAUUUUGAUCAGCACAUGCAUAUACACGUGAUUUUAUUAAUAAUUAAUUAUUGGAUAUGAGACAACCCGGGUCAAAUCCCAAGCCUUUUCUGAAAAUCGGGUCAAGUCCCGAAUUCCGAAUCCGAAAAUAAGCCGAAAUACACUGGCCUAAUUACAGCAACUUGGGUAAUCCACAAGCCCACCACAGACCCCCAAAAGAUCAUGAUUUGUUGGUGCAAUUGGUAGUAGUACUUAUGCUUAUAAACUAAACUAAAGUCCACACACUUCAUGAUGUGGGAUUGGGGUGUUACAAACUCCCCCACUUAAAAAUUCCUGACGUCCUCGUCAGGCCGAAACGGAUAGCCCAUAG